This 72-nucleotide transfer RNA is filed under the name Camelus ferus (Wild Bactrian camel). It matches the Rfam family "tRNA". From Rfam's summary of the family: Transfer RNA (tRNA) molecules are approximately 80 nucleotides in length. Their secondary structure includes four short double-helical elements and three loops (D, anti-codon, and T loops). Lineage: Eukaryota; Metazoa; Chordata; Mammalia; Artiodactyla; Camelidae. The record is from Rfam by way of RNAcentral.
GAGGAUAUAGCUCAGUGGGAGAGUGCAUGUCUAGCAGACACGAGGUCCUGGGUUCAAUCCCCAGUACCUCCA